AGUGAACGCUGGCGGCGUGCCUAACACAUGCAAGUCGAACGAUGAUGGAGGAGCUUGCUCUUCCUGAUUAGUGGCGCACGGGUGAGUAAUGCAUAGAUAAUGUGCCCCUUAGUUCGGGAUAGCCACUGGGAACGGUGAUUAAUACCGGAUACUCCUUCUUAUCAUAAGAUAAGUCGGGAAAGUUUUUCGCUAAGGGAUCAGUCUAUGUUCCAUCAGUUAGUUGGUGAGGUAACGGCUCACCAAGACAAUGACGGAUAUCUGGUUUGAGAGGAUGAUCAGACACACUGGAACUGAGACACGGUCCAGACUCCUACGGGAGGCAGCAGUGAGGAAUAUUGCACAAUGGAGGAAACUCUGAUGCAGCAACGCCGCGUGGAGGAUGACGCAUUUCGGUGUGUAAACUCCUUUAUUAGGGAAGAUUAUGACGGUACCUAAUGAAUAAGCACCGGCUAACUCCGUGCCAGCCGCCGCCGUAA
RNAcentral lists this ribosomal RNA (476 nucleotides) under uncultured bacterium. RNAcentral's name for it is "partial 16S ribosomal RNA". It matches the Rfam family "Bacterial small subunit ribosomal RNA", at positions 29 to 523 of the family's 1533-position model. The record is from RNAcentral.